UACGUAUGGUGCAAGCGUUAUCCGGAUUUACUGGGUGUAAAGGGAGCGUAGGCGGCGCGUUAAGUCUGAUGUGAAAACCCGAGGCUCAACCACGGGAGUGCAUUGGAAACUGGUAGACUUGAGUGCAGGAGAGGAGAGUGGAAUUCCAUGUGUAGCGGUGAAACGCGUAGAUAUAUGGAGGAACACCGGUGGCGAAAGCGGCUCUCUGGCCUGUAACUGACACUGAGGCUCGAAAGCGUGGGGAGCAAACAGG
Molecule: ribosomal RNA, 253 nt
Filed under: uncultured bacterium
Lineage: Bacteria
Description: partial 16S ribosomal RNA
Rfam family: Bacterial small subunit ribosomal RNA
Source: RNAcentral